AGUCACUGACAUUAGAUACCCGGGUAGUCCAGGGUGUAAACGCUGCGGGCUUGGUGUUGGGGGGUCCUUUGAGGGCGCCCAGUGCCGGAGAGGAGUUGUUAAGCCUGCUGCUUGGGGAGUACGUCCGCAAGGAUGAAACUUAAAGGAAUUGGCGGGGGAGCACCGCAACGGGAGGAGCGUGCGGUUCAAUUGGAUUCAACGCCGGACAACUCACCAGGAGCGACGGUUACAUGAAGGCCAGGCUGAUGACCUUGCCUGAUUUUCCG
This 266-nucleotide ribosomal RNA is filed under the name uncultured archaeon. RNAcentral's name for it is "partial 16S ribosomal RNA". It matches the Rfam family "Archaeal small subunit ribosomal RNA", at positions 719 to 982 of the family's 1478-position model. The record is from RNAcentral.